Talpa occidentalis (Iberian mole) is the source of this 668-nucleotide long non-coding RNA. RefSeq lists it as uncharacterized. The transcript is spliced from 5 exons. The record is from RefSeq and is a predicted model, not a curated record. NCBI's taxonomy places the organism in Eukaryota, Metazoa, Chordata, Mammalia, Eulipotyphla, Talpidae.
CUGUGUUACUGAGGAAUUACUGCUCAGUAUGCAGGACUUGUAUAGCUUUGGUUCCAACACUCAAGUCCAGAGCUGUUUCUUCAUGAUUCCUCUCUGUCUUGUUCCUUAAUGGAUUAAAAGUUUCAGCACGGAAGAGAGCGAGCUCUGACAUGGGACUGAAGGGACAGAAGAUUAUGCUGAAGUGCUUUUGACUUUCACAAAACUUGAGUUUUGCAAGACAUUUCCUAGCUGAGCAGUUGGAUGUCUCAGUGAGCAUUUGUCAUUUGUGCAUCUGGGCAAGAUAAACCAAAGGUGAAAUAUUUCUGGAGCCAGACCACUUUAUUGCUGUAGCUGUGGCUCAAGACAAUUGGAUGCCAGAGUGAUUUUUGAGAUGGAACGAUCCAGUUUGAACAGAGACAGUCUUCUAAAUUGGGCUUUGCUGAGGUGUAAGUGAGCUACACAUAAUUACACACGCUGUAUACAAUUUUAUGAGUUUGGACCUGCCCCCACACCUGUGAUGCCACCUCCACCUUCAAGACAAUAAACACAUGCUUCAUCUUCUCAAGUUUCCAGCUAAGCAACAUUUUUAAUUGAAUUUACUUCACUCUAUGAAAAACCAAAGAACACUGAGGUGUAUGAGACAGCUCAGACAGGAAGAGAAGGUGCAGAGAUGUAGAGGUGUCCACUUU